CGCUGCAUCUGGCCAAGAAGCAGGAGACGGCGGCCGUGUGCGGGGACACGGACGAGGACGAGGCCGAGAGCGGCGGCGAGGGCAUCUUCCGCGAGCGCGACGAGUUCGUGGUGCGCGUCGAGGACAUCCAGGCGCUCAAGCUGGCACUGCAGACGGGCCGGGAGCCGCCGCCGAUCUGGCGGGUGCAGAAGGCGCUGCUGCAGAAGUUCACCCCCGAGAUCAAGGAUGGGCAGCGGCAGUUCUGUGCCACCAGCAACUACUUGGGCUAUUUUGGGGACGCCAAGAACCGGUACCAGCGGCUCUACGUGAAGUUC
This is a long non-coding RNA of Nothoprocta perdicaria, 314 nucleotides long. RefSeq lists it as uncharacterized. Lineage: Eukaryota; Metazoa; Chordata; Aves; Tinamiformes; Tinamidae. The transcript has 3 exons. The record is from RefSeq and is a predicted model, not a curated record.